Molecule: ribosomal RNA, 253 nt
Filed under: uncultured bacterium
Lineage: Bacteria
Description: partial 16S ribosomal RNA
Rfam family: Bacterial small subunit ribosomal RNA
Source: RNAcentral
UACAGAGGUCUCAAGCGUUGUUCGGAUUCAUUGGGCGUAAAGGGUGCGUAGGUGGCGCGCUAAGUCAGGUGUGAAAUUUCGGAGCUUAACUCCGAAACUGCAUUUGAUACUGGCGUGCUUGAGGACUGGAGAGGAGACUGGAAUUCAUGGUGUAGCAGUGAAAUGCGUAGAGAUCAUGAGGAAGACCAGUGGCGAAGGCGAGUCCCUGGACAACUCCUGACACUGAGGCACGAAAGCUAGGGGAGCAAACAGG